GCCCGUUUAGCUCAGUGGUAGAGCGCGCCACUCGUAUACUUGUGAUGGUGAGGUCAAUCGUUCAAUCCGGUUAGUGGGCA
Asterophora parasitica is the source of this 80-nucleotide non-coding RNA. The record is from the annotation of a GenBank genome assembly. NCBI's taxonomy places the organism in Eukaryota, Fungi, Basidiomycota, Agaricomycetes, Agaricales, Lyophyllaceae.